CCUACGGGCGGCAGCAGUGAGGAAUAUUGGUCAAUGGACGAGAGUCUGAACCAGCCAAGUAGCGUGAAGGAUGACUGCCCUAUGGGUUGUAAACUUCUUUUAUAUGGGAAUAAAACGCUCCACGUGUGGGAUUUUGUAUGUACCAUAUGAAUAAGGAUCGGCUAACUCCGUGCCAGCAGCCGCGGUAAUACGGAGGAUCCGAGCGUUAUCCGGAUUUAUUGGGUUUAAAGGGAGCGUAGGUGGAUUGUUAAGUCAGUUGUGAAAGUUUGCGGCUCAACCGUAAAAUUGCAGUUGAAACUGGCAGUCUUGAGUACAGUAGAGGUGGGCGGAAUUCGUGGUGUAGCGGUGAAAUGCUUAGAUAUCACGAAGAACUCCGAUUGCGAAGGCAGUUCACUGGACUGCAACUGACACUGAGGCUCGAAAGUGUGGGUAUCAAACAGGAUUAGAUACCCUUGUAGUC
RNAcentral lists this ribosomal RNA (460 nucleotides) under uncultured bacterium. RNAcentral's name for it is "partial 16S ribosomal RNA". It matches the Rfam family "Bacterial small subunit ribosomal RNA", at positions 338 to 795 of the family's 1533-position model. The record is from RNAcentral.